This is a non-coding RNA of Pelobates cultripes (western spadefoot toad), 99 nucleotides long. The record is from the annotation of a GenBank genome assembly. NCBI's taxonomy places the organism in Eukaryota, Metazoa, Chordata, Amphibia, Anura, Pelobatidae.
CCUCCCUCCCAGGCCCUCCUACUUCCUGGACAGCAUCCAUGUUGAAGGCAGCUGGAUGCUGUCCAGGAGGUGGGAGGGCCUGGGAGGGAGGGUCUGCUG